Molecule: long non-coding RNA, 203 nt
Filed under: Mytilus galloprovincialis (Mediterranean mussel)
Lineage: Eukaryota; Metazoa; Mollusca; Bivalvia; Mytilida; Mytilidae
Source: RNAcentral
GUUGGUUGAUGAAACUCGUCACUUUCACAUAUUUUUCUGUCUUGUCGAAGUCGUCACUACGCAAAUAGAGUCAUGUAUCCCGGCUUGCCAUCUCAGGGGAAUCAGUGAUUUGUUCAAUUAUAUUGAAAAAUAUUUUCGCAUUUGAUGAAUAGUUCAGUAAAUCUGGAUGAAAACUAGCGUAUUUCUGGAAUCAUUCAUUUAAU